Molecule: ribosomal RNA, 278 nt
Filed under: Chloroflexota bacterium
Lineage: Bacteria; Bacillati; Chloroflexota
Description: Chloroflexi bacterium (anaerobic digester metagenome) partial 16S ribosomal RNA
Rfam family: Bacterial small subunit ribosomal RNA
Source: RNAcentral
UUUACGGAGGGUUUGAUCCUGGCUCAGGAUGAACGCUGGCGGCGUGCCUGAUACAUGCAAGUCGAACGGAUCGGCCUUCGGGCCGGUUAGUGGCGAACGGGUGAGUAACACGUGGGUAAUCUACCCCAAAGUGGGGAAUAACUGUCCGAAAGGGCGGCUAAUUCCGCAUGUGAUCCCGUGAGGGAUGAAAGGGGCGCAAGUCUCGCUUUGGGAUGAGCCCGCGGCCGAUUAGCUUGUUGGUGGGGUAACGGCCCACCAAGGCGACGAUCGGUAGCUGG